UGGGGAAUCUUGCGCAAUGGGCGAAAGCCUGACGCAGCAACGCCGCGUGCGGGAUGAAGGCCUUCGGGUUGUAAACCGCUUUCAGCAGGGAAGAAAUUGACGGUACCUGCAGAAGAAGCCCCGGCCAACUACGUGCCAGCAGCCGCGGUAACACGUAGGGGGCGAGCGUUGUCCGGAUUUAUUGGGCGUAAAGAGCUCGUAGGUGGUUCGUCACGUCGGAUGUGAAAAUCUGGGGCUCAACCCCAGACCUGCAUUCGAUACGAGCGAGCUAGAGUUUGGUAGGGGAGACUGGAAUUCCUGGUGUAGCGGUGAAAUGCGUAGAUAUUAGGAGGAACACCGAUGGCGAAGGCACCACUCUGGGCCGAAACUGACGCUGAGGAGCGAAAGCGUGGGUAGCAAACAGG
Molecule: ribosomal RNA, 404 nt
Filed under: uncultured bacterium
Lineage: Bacteria
Description: bacterial SSU rRNA
Rfam family: Bacterial small subunit ribosomal RNA
Source: RNAcentral